AUGGCGGACGAGGGGACGGCCAACUGCAUCGACAUCAUCCUCGCCGUCAUCCUGCCGCCGCUCGGCGUCUUCUUCAAGUUCGCUUGCUUCUUCUUUGUGUUUAACCUCGGGGGAACUUGUUAUGUUUCUCGGGUAUUUUCUGUUCUGUAG
This 150-nucleotide ribosomal RNA is filed under the name Triticum aestivum (bread wheat). RNAcentral describes it as "partial small subunit ribosomal RNA". The record is from RNAcentral. Lineage: Eukaryota; Viridiplantae; Streptophyta; Magnoliopsida; Poales; Poaceae.